This 155-nucleotide microRNA precursor is filed under the name Picea abies (Norway spruce). Its description in RNAcentral is "miR3693c stem-loop (pab-MIR3693c)". The record is from miRBase by way of RNAcentral. Lineage: Eukaryota; Viridiplantae; Streptophyta; Pinopsida; Pinales; Pinaceae.
CGCCUUUCACGAAGGUACUCAGGAGCUGCUCGUAGGUGAGGGAUGCACAGAGGCCUUACUCAAACACUUGAGCAGAUCUGUUUGUUGAAAACACAAGCGCUCAAAUGGAGCAAACUUCCAUCUAUGAGCAGCUCAUGAGCACCUUCUGAAGGACG